This 58-nucleotide transfer RNA is filed under the name Salmo salar (Atlantic salmon). It matches the Rfam family "tRNA", at positions 8 to 63 of the family's 71-position model. From Rfam's summary of the family: Transfer RNA (tRNA) molecules are approximately 80 nucleotides in length. Their secondary structure includes four short double-helical elements and three loops (D, anti-codon, and T loops). The record is from Rfam by way of RNAcentral. Lineage: Eukaryota; Metazoa; Chordata; Actinopteri; Salmoniformes; Salmonidae.
UGGCGCAGUUGGUAGAGCAUGGUGUUUGCAACGCCAGCGUUGUGGGUUUGAUUCCCAC